Molecule: ribosomal RNA, 232 nt
Filed under: uncultured bacterium
Lineage: Bacteria
Description: partial 16S ribosomal RNA
Rfam family: Bacterial small subunit ribosomal RNA
Source: RNAcentral
UGAGCAAUCUGCCCUUCUCAUCGGAAUAAGCGUUGGAAACAACGUCUAAUGCCGAAUACGACCUCCUUUCGCAUGAUCGGAGGUGGAAAGCUCCGGCGGAGAAGGAUGAGCUCGCGGCCUAUCAGCUAGUUGGUGUGGGUAAUGGCCCACCAAGGCGACGACGGGUAGCCGGCCUGAGAGGGCGACCGGCCACACUGGGACUGAGACACGGCCCAGACUCCUACGGGAGCAG